AUGUACACCUACGCGGCCACGGAGCCCGGCGGCCGGAAGGUCAAGUGGACGGCGGAGGAGAAGCCGCGCGGCGGGGGCCGGGCGCUCAAGUGGGAGGCGGAGCUCGCCUCCCCGAACGCCGGCCAGAGAUGCGAAGUAUUUGUUCAGAAAAUAAGAUGGUGCAUAUAUAAAGACAUUGUGCGUGCGAUUGACCGUCUAUGUGUCUGCAACGUUGCCGCGUAUAGAUGCGUUGUUGACGUGCCUUGUAUCUCCAGGAUGUGUGGCAACGGCCUAGUGUAUACCAAUGCACUUGAUUCAGGCGUACGGAGGGAGCCGUGUUGUGUGUUCCAAUCGGAAAGCUAUCAGCCGCCAGCACGGAUUGUAUUCUGUUUAGAGGUCGAGUUCGCAUGCACACUGCAUACUGUCGGGCCUGGAAAUCUACUCAAUAGACUACAAGGCGAAUUGCUACAUAAACAGCAGAGAGAGAGCAUGGGGACGGCCUGCCCCACAUCCCAUGAGGUACCCACUGGCCUGCCCCAGCUCCCCCAAGUCUCUUCCUUGUCCAAACCGGUGUCGGUGCCCUCUGGUUCGUCGGGGUGGAUGCGCAUUGAUCGGCGCCGAUGCAUGGCGGGUCGGGGCCCGGCUCCUUCCCCGGAUCGUGGUCUCCUCGGUCCUCCUCCUUCCUCUGUGGUGUUGGAUCCGGACGAUGUGGCGUCACCGGUCGCUGGUCCUGAUUGUCCUCCUCUCAGGCCGGGGCCGGCGCCGGUGGCGGCGGUCGCGUCGGCGUGUGCGGGGGCGGAUGGUGGCCAAACCCUAGAUCCGGGUUGCCCUGUGGUCAAGGUGGGCCUUGGUGGGCACUUGGGCCUGGUGGCGCCUGGAUUGACUCGGGCUGGGCCGCCCGGGCCCCCGGCUCCAUCCUCUCUCGAUUCUUUCCCUCCCCUCCCGUCUGUGGGCACGGGGCAGUUGGUAGUGGCCACUGCAUCGCGUCCGUCCCCUCCCUUGGCCCGCUGUCCCAUUCCGGCCCAUUCGGCCCACUCUGGCCUGGCCUGUUGUAGCUAUAUAUGGGUGCGCCGCGGUGCCUCUCCCCCCUUCCUAGGGUUUCCGGCUUCCGCCGCUGAUAUCCGCAGGGCGCAUCGUCCUAUCCGCCAUUUCUCCAGAUCCACUUCUUCCCCACCUCCUCUCCUCCUCUCCUUCGCUGAAGUGAUCGCCAUGGACAAGUCUAGGGGCUCCUCCUCUGAGGCCCUUUCGGGUAGCAAGCGGGCCCGUGAAGUUUCGCCGGGCAAUGGUGUCGAUCUGGCCUAUGAGGCGGAGCUGUGGUCGAAGCUCGAAUAUGAGCAGGCGGCCCGCGAGCUGUCGCGCGAGCGGGAGGAUUGGGAGGCGGGGCCGGAGCGCUCCGUGGCCAGAUCUGGGAUGGUGCUCCCUGGAUCUGGUGGUGUGUCGGGGUCGGGGCCGGAUCUGUGGGAGCCCGCUGCUGCUUCGUUGGUGGUGGCUCAUCCUCGUCGGCGCUGCGCCCCGCUCCGGCCAGGGGUCCGGUCCCUCCGCCUCGGCCACCUCCUCGCUCGUUUGCAGCUGGCGCUGCCUCUCGCUCGGGGCCGCGCUUCGGGCCUGGCUCUUCCUCUUCGUUGGUCGGGGACCAGCGUGCUCCUCCCUCUGCUCCUGGUGCCUCUUCUGCGGUCCGUGGUGAUGGCAUCCUGCCGCCGCCACCUCCCCCUCUCCGCCAGCAUCCUGUUGCCUCGGGCCCUUCUCCGACCCUGA
RNAcentral lists this ribosomal RNA (1734 nucleotides) under Triticum aestivum (bread wheat). RNAcentral describes it as "partial small subunit ribosomal RNA". Lineage: Eukaryota; Viridiplantae; Streptophyta; Magnoliopsida; Poales; Poaceae. The record is from RNAcentral.